CUACGUCUGCGCACCGCCUAUCGUAGUGUUGUGAGAGUUGUGUCAGAAAGUGUGUCUCGUAAGUCUACCUAUUUAUUUACAAAAUGGCCACAAGUGGUGCAACUACAGAAACUUCAAGUGAUGAAUCACUUUAUCCUAUUGCUGUUUUAAUAGAUGAAUUAAGAAAUGAGGAUGUUCAGUUGCGGUUAAAUUCUAUCAAGAAAUUGUCAACCAUUGCCUUGGCAUUGGGAGUGGAGAGGACGCGUACAGAGCUCAUUCCAUUCUUGACUGACACAAUCUAUGAUGAAGAUGAAGUGCUGCUUGCUCUGGCUGAACAGCUCGGCACAUUCACAACUCUUGUUGGUGGACCAGAACAUGUCUAUGUUCUUCUGCGGCCCCUAGAGUCGCUGGCCACAGUUGAGGAGACCGUAGUGCGGGACAAGGCUGUGGACAGCCUGCGUCACAUAUGCCAGGAGCACAGCGUCGAGCACCUCGAACAGCAGUUUGUUCCUUUGGUUAAAAGGCUUGCUGUGGGUGACUGGUUCACUGCCAGGACUUCUGCAUGUGGUCUUUUUGCCAAUUGUUACCCAAGGCUCUCAGUUGCAACAAAAUCGGAAUUGCGGGCAUACUUCCGCUCCCUGUGUCAGGACGACACGCCAAUGGUGCGCCGUGCGGCCGCCUCGAAGCUGGGCGAGUUUGCCAAGGUGGUGGAGCCUGAGUAUCUCAAGAGUGACAUGAUCCCUAUGUUCGUGGCUCUUGCUACAGAUGAGCAGGAUUCAGUUCGUCUGCUGGCGGUAAAGGCGUGCGUGAGCAUGGCAGGACUUCUCCCUCAAGAGGACACAGAAGCUCUCGUUAUGCCCACACUUAGAGCCUCUGCAGAGGACAAGUCGUGGCGCGUCCGCUACAUGGUGGCCGACAGCUUCAUUGAGCUGCAGAACGCAGUAGGGCCAGAAAUAACGCGCAACGACCUCGUGCAGGCCUAUCAGCUCCUUCUCAAGGAUGUUGAGGCUGAGGUGCGGGCAGCUUCGGCUGGUAAACUGAAAGACUUCUGUCAGAAUCUUGAUCCGAGUGCCCAGGAAACGGUGAUCAUGAACAACAUCCUUCCCUGCGUCAAGGAGCUUGUGUCGGACAGCAAUCAACAUGUGAAGUCAGCUCUGGCGGGAGUCAUUAUGGGCCUGUCACCUAUCCUGGGUAAAGAUAACACCGUCUCUCACUUGCUGCCGCUCUUCCUCAGUCAACUCAAAGACGAAUGCCCAGAAGUUCGCCUCAAUAUUAUUUCCAAUCUGGAUUGCGUCAAUGAAGUCAUUGGUAUUCAACAGUUAUCGCAGUCGCUGUUGCCGGCAAUUGUAGAGCUGGCAGAGGACAGCAAGUGGCGAGUAAGGCUGGCCAUCAUCGAGUAUAUGCCUCUGUUGGCUGGUCAACUUGGCGUCGAGUUCUUCAAUCAAAGCUUGUCAAAACUCUGCAUGACCUGGCUUGUUGAUCAUGUUUUUGCCAUACGAGAAGCUGCGACAAAUAACCUGCGGAAACUAGUGGAGAAAUUCGGACACGACUGGGCCGAUACGCACGUGCUGCCCAAGAUCACAGCCAUGAGCAGGGACGGCAACUACUUGCAUAGAAUGACCUGCCUCGCCUGCAUCAAUGUGGUGGGGGAAGUGUGUGGCAAGGAACUGACUACUAAGACCCUCCUGCCCACCGUGCUGGCUCUGGCUCAGGACAACGUGCCCAACGUGCGCUUCAAUGUUGCCAAAACUUUGCACAUCAUCGGACCUCACAUCGAAAAAGAGAGCCUGAUGUCGCAAGUGAAACCUGUCCUGGAUCGACUGAACGAGGACCUUGACACCGACGUCCGCUACUUCGCGUCCGUCGCAUCUUUAGAGAAUGGUCUAUGCUAAUUGACCUUAAAUAUUUUAGCCCUUGGCUAAAUAAAGAGCGGGAACCCUGCUAUCCCUUUACGAAAUGGCUCCUCUUUUCGCAUGAGUACUGAAGUGAUGUACAGGCGAAUGCAACUCGUCUGCUGGACUGCCUCCUUGGUAACGAUCGUUGCCUCAUCUUCUGGCUUAAAUGUUCCAUCGCCACAUUAUGUCAGAGACUUGUUUUUAAUUUCUGUUCAGGCCUAUAUUGAUUGAUUUUUUAUUACUACUGCAUCAAUGGGAAUCCACUUUCGUGUUCUAAUGAAUAUACUUCAGUGGAAGAUCGUCGUUUGCCGUAGUAUUGUAGGCAUAAAAUGCAAUGUUUACGACAGUGCUUAUUGUUGCGAGAGAAAAAUUCAACUUAUUUUAGCAGUGAGCUAAUGGUCAAAUAUUAUUAAUCAAUAAUUAUAAUUUCUUCUGUUCACUCCUGUUUCAUUAAAGGAAGAGUUUUAAGUAAGUGUAUGAUCCCGACAACAUACCAAUAAGUUUAAUAUUACUUACCAACUUCUUGGUCGGUGUCAACUAUUCACGUCGAUCAAUUAAUUGCAUACAAGUGUAAAAUAGAUAGUGUCCCGCGAUGUUUUCUACUACUAUUCACCCAGCUCUGCUGUAUUUACGCCGCAGGUCCCCUUGUAGCAAUUUAUGUUACUCAAACCUAUAGCUAUUUUUGUGCUAAAUAAACGUUAGUUUGCUUGACAUCUGAUAUCAUGAGUGAUCAGCUGUGCUGUUGGAGUUUUUUUUUUAUUGCUGGUAGGUAAUUUUGAAUUUUUGUAUGGUGCUUUGAGUGGCUGAAAUGUCAGUUGAGUAACGAAAAGCGUUCAUAAGAAGCGUCCCGUGAAAUAUUGCCUUUUGUGCUCAAUGUCAUUGAAAGUUAUCCCACUCCAAUAUAUUCGUAUUGUAACAUACUAUUGUUUUGAAUGUCGCUUAUGGUUUUCAUAAAGAAAGUUCUUAUAAUCUGCCUAACAGUGAAGCCUCACGCAGCAGGUAGGUUUCGGUAAUACGAUUAUGAAAGUUUCUCUUCUCUCUCUUGCAUUUUAGGAUAAGUUACACUACUCCAACUCUACAUCCUUAUCUAUGUCACUAUUAAGGCCGAUAAUCUUUUUGUACAUAGAAAUAUUACUCAUUGACGUUAGGUAAGAAUCAGUAUUGACACACCCUCGCCGGUCACUGUGAAAUGAAUAAAAGAACUAAUCCUG
This is an RNA transcript of Hyalella azteca, 3085 nucleotides long. It is a transcript of the gene named serine/threonine-protein phosphatase 2A 65 kDa regulatory subunit A alpha isoform, with no coding region annotated. NCBI's taxonomy places the organism in Eukaryota, Metazoa, Arthropoda, Malacostraca, Amphipoda, Hyalellidae. The transcript is spliced from 14 exons. The record is from RefSeq and is a predicted model, not a curated record.